Molecule: long non-coding RNA, 586 nt
Organism: Bufo bufo (common toad)
Lineage: Eukaryota; Metazoa; Chordata; Amphibia; Anura; Bufonidae
Exons: 4
Source: RefSeq, a predicted model, not a curated record
GGCGCUCACCUGUCUUCAGUCUCCUCUUCUCCUAGGUGUAAGGUGAAGGGGCGCUCACCUGUCUUCAGUCUCCUCUUCUCCUAGGUGUAAGGUGAAGGGGCGCUCACCUGUCUUCAGUAUCCUCUUCUCCUAGGUAUUAGGUGAAGGGGCGCUCACCUGUCUUCAGUCUCCUCUUCUCCCAGCUCCUCCUAGGUGUAAGGUGAAGGGGCGCUCACCUGUCUUCAGUCUCCUCUUCUCCUAGGUGUAAGGUGAAGGGGCGCUCACCUGUCUUCAGUCUCCUCUUCUCCUAGGUGUAAGGUGAAGGGGCGCUCACCUGUCUUCAGUAUCCUCUUCUCCUAGGUAUUAGGUGAAGGGGCGCUCACCUGUCUUCAGUCUCCUCUUCUCCCAGCUCCUCCUAGGUGUAAGGUGAAGGGGCGCUCACCUGUCUUCAGUCUCCUCUUCUCCUAGGUGUAAGGUGAAGGGGCGCUCACCUGUCUUCAGUCUCCUCUUCUCCUAGGUGUAAGGUGAAGGGGCGCUCACCUGUCUUCAGUAUCCUCUUCUCCUAGGUAUUAGGUGAAGGGGCGCUCACCUGUCUUCAGUCUCCUCU